GCAGUUCCAAAUCACUUUCCAAGAGCGCUUUGAGGCGAAUCAGGAGGAGUUAUACAACCUGCUUGCACGCUGCCAACAGCGCCGGCGUGAACCCGUGCGAGAGUACGCGGAUCGGUUUCGUGACCUGGCGUCGCAGCUGUCGCUCAAUACCUCUGACCCCGUCCAUACCUUCUCCUUCCUUCGUGGGCUACAACCGGACAUCUACGAUCAGGUGUUCUUGCUGAGGCCCAAGACACUUGAAGAAGCAAUUCACGACGCCAUCUACAUUGAGGAAGGCUCGCAAUGCUACUCUGCACCAAGCAGCCGCAGUCACCGGUGGCGUGACCAGUCUCCCGGCCGCCGCCAUGGCCGCAACAGGGACCGGCGGUUCACGGACUGCCACUACCGCUCGUACGAUGAGUCUCAUUACUACGGCAGCCGUCCGUCACGACAUGGGCGCUACUCAUCGCCAUCAACACAACCCCAAGCAAACCGCGGGCGAGGUCACGACCAUCAUGACGUGCAACAAGUCGACUUGUACGACGCCGAUCAAGCGGAUGAAGCCGCUCUUGAGGGUCUUGCCGCUCACAUGGCACGGCUGAUGCGCCUGUUGGAGGAGGUGACAGGGCAAGGACCUCACAUGUUGGACAUGGCGCGAGACAGUCGUUACUACGAGGAAGAUACGUGCUACGUGCCGUAUGAGGAGUAUGAAACACACCCUGACGCCGAGCGAGGGGGCGAGCAGGUGACCGUCCCUUCCACACAACCGUAUGCGCCGGACACCCCUGAGCUCACACCAUAUUCCACACCUGUAACUGCGCUUGCGCACCCACCUCGCGCCACCUUCCCGACGCACGUUUACGUCAUGCAGCAGACCGUAUCCCCGCCGCCAGCAGUAAUACGGGAUGACACGCCCCAGCGGGCAUAUCACUUGGAGCAGAUUCCCGCGCAGCAGCCCGCGCAACCUGCGGAGGAGAGCCAUGAUGGUGCAAGCGAGGACGUGAAAGGCGUGGACAUGUACCCCAUGCCG
This 1009-nucleotide long non-coding RNA is filed under the name Chlamydomonas reinhardtii. Its description in RNAcentral is "long non-coding RNA (CREI_LNC001162)". Lineage: Eukaryota; Viridiplantae; Chlorophyta; Chlorophyceae; Chlamydomonadales; Chlamydomonadaceae. The record is from RNAcentral.